UACGGAGGAUCCAAGCGUUAUCCGGAAUCAUUGGGUUUAAAGGGUCCGUAGGCGGCCCUGUAAGUCAGUGGUGAAAUCUCACGGCUCAACCGUGAAAUUGCCAUUGAUACUGCAGGGCUUGAAUUACCAGGAAGUAACUAGAAUAUGUAGUGUAGCGGUGAAAUGCUUAGAUAUUACAUGGAAUACCGAUUGCGAAGGCAGGUUACUACUGGUGGAUUGACGCUGAUGGACGAAAGCGUGGGUAGCGAACAGG
This 253-nucleotide ribosomal RNA is filed under the name uncultured bacterium. RNAcentral describes it as "partial 16S ribosomal RNA". It matches the Rfam family "Bacterial small subunit ribosomal RNA", at positions 524 to 776 of the family's 1533-position model. The record is from RNAcentral.